Non-coding RNA from Arachis ipaensis, 906 nucleotides. Lineage: Eukaryota; Viridiplantae; Streptophyta; Magnoliopsida; Fabales; Fabaceae. The record is from RefSeq and is a predicted model, not a curated record.
CACAAGUAAGAGAAAAGAGUUCGCAGGUGAGAGAGGAAGGUGUUGCGCCGCCGUUCGUUGCUGUUCAGCCACCGCCACGCCUUGUCGUCGCCGGAGUUUCCACCGCGGCUUCUCACCGCCGAGGGGAAGCCUUGUCUACGUUGCUGCCUCAGUCGCCGGUGAGUUGUGCACCGCCACCAGAGUCGAAGACAGCGCCAGCCUUGUUCUGAUUUCAAUUCUCCUAUUCUUGAAACUUCGUUGCUGGUUUACCGUUCGAAAAAGGCAUAAUUGAUGCUGAGAUCGUUGUUGUUCUUGCUCUGAGAGAACUGAUGUCACCAUUGCUGCUGUUGGUUCUGAAUCCUAUUACAUUGAUUCUGAGCUAUGUUUGCUUUUGAUUCUUAUCCAAUUCGAAUCCUUGUCUCGCUGCAACCAUCGUCACUGCCAUAAGAGAUUGACAAUGCUGCUGCUUCAGUUGCGUGCUUGCUGCUGCCAUAAAAAUUAAAAGAGAAGGGAGUUACCACGUUUAAUCUAUGUGAAUUCAACUAAUUGAGCUUUACCUUUUCAGGAACCAGAUGAAGAGGCGUAAAGAAGAGUUAUACUGAGUUUGGUUUAUAUGCUGUUGUGUUAAUUAGAUUAUUUUCUUCCCUCGUCUUUGUUAUUACAAAUUUGCAAGAGGGAUAGGAGUUGUAUGUUCUAUAUGUAUAUUAUAUUAUGAGAUAUUAUGUAAGGAGUCUUGUAUAUGAAUCUAUGCCUGCUUGCAUUUUUCUUAAGAUAAAGUAUUUAUUUCCGGUUUUCAAAGAAAUCAGCGAUACAGUGUCGAGUCACAGGCUCCUAUUUUAAUAUUUAGUAUGUAAAGUAGUCGUAAUACCUCUUGUUAUCAGAGUAGCGCAGUCGGAAACGUGACUUCUGAUAGUGAGGGUGUUACAU